Long non-coding RNA from Ruditapes philippinarum (Manila clam), 682 nucleotides. RefSeq lists it as uncharacterized. The record is from RefSeq and is a predicted model, not a curated record. The transcript is spliced from 2 exons. NCBI's taxonomy places the organism in Eukaryota, Metazoa, Mollusca, Bivalvia, Venerida, Veneridae.
AAUCCAUGACUCCAAUAGUAACAGAAAAAUAUUUACGUUAAACCUUUAGAAAAAUAAAGACAUUACAGUGGAUGAUUUCAAACCUGUGACACAAUUUUGAGGAUAACUCAAGAUAAAACAUGGCAGUCUCAGGAAAAAAAGCAUCAAAACAAUUUUCAUCAUCUACAACAUCCAUGGCAUCAGAUGAAGAUCUUCAAAUUUACUGCCAGCCUUGUGACGAGGAAGGACCUAGACUACCUGCCCAUGGUUACUGCACUGACUGCAAGGAACACCUCUGCAAGAAUUGUUUUACGGCACACAAAGUCAGUAGGCUUUCAAAACAUCACACACUUCAGGACGCUAUUAAUAUGCCUAAAGUAUUUCAGCAACCCUCAACAUCUAUUCACACAGGCCAGUCUGAUGUCCUGACCACACUCUGUCUUAAACAUCCACAAGAAAUGAUCAAGUUCUACUGCAAUGACCAUAAAAAACUACUUUGCAGUGUUUGUGUUACCCUUGAACAUCAAGCUACUUCCUGCAAAGUUGAUUAUAUACCAGACAUUUCUGGUGAUAUAAUAGACAGCAAAGAAUAUCAAGAUAUUCUAAAAAGAUUGAAUCACAAUUCUGACCAAUUUCAACAGAUGGUAGAAGAUGUCAAGAACAUGACAAACAAAUCAAACAGCUCUCUAAAAGAUGCAUUAGC